This 355-nucleotide ribosomal RNA is filed under the name uncultured bacterium. RNAcentral's name for it is "partial 16S ribosomal RNA". It matches the Rfam family "Bacterial small subunit ribosomal RNA", at positions 338 to 690 of the family's 1533-position model. The record is from RNAcentral.
CCUACGGGAGGCUGCAGUGAGGAAUAUUGGUCAAUGGCCGUAAGGCUGAACCAGCCAAGUAGCGUGAGGGAAGACUGCCCUAUGGGUUGUAAACCUCUUUUAUGCGGGGAUAAAGUUAUCCACGUGUGGCUUUUUGCAUGUACUUCAUGAAUAAGGAUCGGCUAAGUCCGUGCCAGCAGCCGCGGUAAUACGGAAGAUCCGGGCGUUAUCCGGAUUUAUUGGGUUUAAAGGGAGCGUAGAUGGGUCUUUAAGCGUGCUGUGAAAUUUUGUGGCUCAACCAUGAGAGUGCGGCGCGAACUGGAGACCUUGAGUGAGCUGAGGGCAGGGGGAAUCGGGGGGGUAGGGGUAAAAUGUU